This 440-nucleotide ribosomal RNA is filed under the name uncultured bacterium. Its description in RNAcentral is "partial 16S ribosomal RNA". It matches the Rfam family "Bacterial small subunit ribosomal RNA", at positions 338 to 795 of the family's 1533-position model. The record is from RNAcentral.
CCUACGGGGGGCAGCAGUGGGGGAUAUUGCACAAUGGGGGCAACCCUGAUGCAGCGACGCCGCGUGGGUGAAGAAGCGCCUCGGCGCGUAAAGCCCUGUCAGCAGGGAAGAAAAUGACGGUACCUGAAGAAGAAGCCCCGGCGAACUACGUGCCAGCAUCCGCUGGAAUACUUAGGGGGCAAGCGUUGACCGGAUUUACUGGGGUUAAAGGGGGCGCAGUCGGCGAUGCAAGCCAGGAGGGAAAGCGCGGGGCCCAACCACGGGGCUGCGUUUGGAACUGCGUGGCUAGAGUGAAGGAGGGGCAGGCGGAAUUCCUGGUGUAGCGGUGAAAUGCGUAGAUAUCAGGAGGAACACCGGUGGCGAAGGCGGCCUGCUGGACUGCAACUGACGUUGAGGCACGAAAGCGUGGGGAGCAAACAGGAUUAGAUACCCGAGUAGUC